RNAcentral lists this ribosomal RNA (403 nucleotides) under bacterium. RNAcentral describes it as "partial 16S ribosomal RNA". It matches the Rfam family "Bacterial small subunit ribosomal RNA", at positions 355 to 776 of the family's 1533-position model. The record is from RNAcentral.
UGGGGAAUAUUGCACAAUGGGGGAAACCCUGAUGCAGCGACGCCGCGUGAACGAAGAAGGUAUUCGUAUCGUAAAGUUCUGUCCUAUGGGAAGAUAAUGACAGUACCAUAGAAGAAAGCUCCGGCUAAAUACGUGCCAGCAGCCGCGGUAAUACGUAUGGAGCGAGCGUUGUCCGGAAUUAUUGGGCGUAAAGGGUACGCAGGCGGUUUAAUAAGUCGAAUGUUAAAGAUCGGGGCUCAACCCCGCAAAGCAUUGGAAACUGAUAAACUUGAGUAGUGGAGAGGAAAGUGGAAUUACUAGUGUAGUGGUGAAAUACGUAGAUAUUAGGAGGAAUACCAGUAGCGAAGGCGACUUUCUGGACACAAACUGACGCUGAGGUACGAAAGCGUGGGGAGCAAACAGG